GGGAGGAACACUUGAUGGAUGAGAGCUUUGGGAACCAUUACCAUUCUUGCUUUUAUCUCCUCUUGGGCAUGUCUUUGUACCAAUGACCUCCUAGAAGCUUUUGACCUUGUGAUUGCUCAAGCUACAAACAAAAGGUGUUAGUGACAUAUUUUUGUGCUUUUGGUUAGUAAACAGAAAUGAGAAAAACAAUGAUAUAUAAUUCAAGCAUGCUUGGUGAUCUCAAACCACUCACAAGAGAUCCCACCCAAAGGCAAAGGAACCAAGAUGCUCAAUGAUCCUUGAGGCUAUGCAAAUGAAAUGUUAUGAUGCCAUGAGGGAUCUUAGGGACAAAAUUGGGGUCUUAC
This 344-nucleotide long non-coding RNA is filed under the name Lathyrus oleraceus (garden pea). RNAcentral describes it as "Pisum sativum (pea) long non-coding RNA (PSAT_LNC016640)". Lineage: Eukaryota; Viridiplantae; Streptophyta; Magnoliopsida; Fabales; Fabaceae. The record is from RNAcentral.